RNAcentral lists this non-coding RNA (44 nucleotides) under Schistosoma margrebowiei. The record is from RNAcentral. Lineage: Eukaryota; Metazoa; Platyhelminthes; Trematoda; Strigeidida; Schistosomatidae.
GGCUAGUGACGAGUCCUAAAUAGGACGAAACGCGCGUCCUGGAU